UACAGGAAUGAUUAAUGCUGUACGGAGUGAGAGUCUCGUCUCUUUGAAAAAAGCUUUAGAAGUAAACAAAUCUGCAUUGGAUUUGAUCAGUAAUGAAUUGAUGCCAGUUUUAAAAGAUAUACAGCAAGAAAUAUCUAACACAAAGGAAUGUAAGGCAGCCAUUGCCAAGAGUGAACGAGCUAUGAGGUCUUGUCUUGAAGAAACUGAGGAGCAGAGUUGAAGAUCCAGCAUAUCAAAGGAAUCCUACAUCCCGGCAGGAGAAAAUAUCACAAAUGCAGAUUGCAUGGAAACUUAAAAAGGAAGUCCUUCAGGGGGCGAGAUUAACCAACAGAAAGAGACACUGCUUGAAAUAAUGCGCAAUCAGACAGAAGACGAAAUUGUAUCCCGAGACUUACAGAAGGAACGUAUGAAAAUCAUCCAUGAAUCUCAGAUGUUAAAGGACCAGAUCCACCAGUUUGACUUAUUUGUGGCUAAAAAUUACCAGAAAAUUCUGGAAGCAAUAGAGCAGCAUAACUGUGAAAUUCAGGAAAGUGUUACUGUUGUUGCAGAAGAGGUGUAUAAGAAAGAGUCUGAAGACUGAAAAAGGGUAAUAGAAUGAAAAUAUGUCUGUUUGCAUCCAAAAAUAUACUGUUUAUGAUGCUUUUCAAAAUAUAUUUUUGAGUGCACAUUUUAUGGUACUGUCUAUACAAAGAUGCAAACUGUGCUGCAGUACCAUUAUGUAAGCAUUCUAGAUCUUUAGAUUUUACAGGCUUUCUUUAACAUAUGUGGAUCAUAUUACACCAAUUUUUUUAAUGUUUUUUUACAAUAUUUUGUACGUAUAGGAAAAAUGUAUGUAUAUUUUUUCAGAAUAUUCUUGAUUGUCUGUCUUCAUAAGAUUAAAAAGCAAGAUCUUACAAAAGUUUCAGGUCAGUAGAAUAUCAUAUUUGGUGUACAGGCUGAGGAGUCUCUCCCAUGUCCACUCUUUCAGAGGCUGAG
Molecule: long non-coding RNA, 975 nt
Organism: Macrobrachium nipponense
Lineage: Eukaryota; Metazoa; Arthropoda; Malacostraca; Decapoda; Palaemonidae
Exons: 4
Source: RefSeq, a predicted model, not a curated record